Molecule: ribosomal RNA, 443 nt
Filed under: uncultured bacterium
Lineage: Bacteria
Description: partial 16S ribosomal RNA
Rfam family: Bacterial small subunit ribosomal RNA
Source: RNAcentral
CCUACGGGAGGCAGCAGUGGGGAAUAUUGGACAAUGGGGGGAACCCUGAUCCAGCGACGCCGCGUGAGUGAAGAAGUAUUUCGGUAGGUAAAGCUCUAUCAGAAGGGAAGAAAGAAAUGACGGUACCUGACUAAGAAGCCCCGGCUAACUACGUGCCAGCAGCCGCGGUAAUACGGAGGGGGCAAGCGUUAUCCGGAUUUACUGGGUGUAAAGGGAGCGUAGACGGCAAGGCAAGCCAGAAGUGAAAGGGCAGGGCUCAACCCUGUACAUGCUUUUGGAACGGUGGUGCUAGAGUGCAGGAGAGGUAAGUGGAAUUCCUAGUGUAGCGGUGAAAUGCGUAGAUAUUAGGAGGAACACCAGUGGCGAAGGCGGCUUACUGUACUGUAACUGACGUUGAGGCUCGAAAGCGUGGGGAGCAAACAGGAUUAGAUACCCUUGUAGUC